UACAGAGGUCUCAAGCGUUGUUCGGAAUCAUUGGGCGUAAAGAGCGUGUAGGCGGCCUGAUAAGUCGGCUGUGAAAGUCAAAGGGCUCAACCCUUGAAUGCCGGCCGAUACUGUCAGGCUAGAGUCCGGAAGAGGUGAGUGGAACUCCGAGUGUAGAGGUGAAAUUCGUAGAUAUUCGGAAGAACACCAGUGGCGUAAGGCGGCUA
This 206-nucleotide ribosomal RNA is filed under the name uncultured bacterium. RNAcentral describes it as "partial 16S ribosomal RNA". It matches the Rfam family "Bacterial small subunit ribosomal RNA", at positions 524 to 727 of the family's 1533-position model. The record is from RNAcentral.